UCGCAUGUUGCAUCCAAUUGA
Caenorhabditis elegans is the source of this 21-nucleotide non-coding RNA. Lineage: Eukaryota; Metazoa; Nematoda; Chromadorea; Rhabditida; Rhabditidae. The record is from Ensembl.